CAUGAGGCUUAUUUAUUUGAGGACAGCCUUUCUCCAAUCACAUUUACUGGUUCCAUCAGGUUAGAAAGAAGUGUCAUCUGACAGGACCAAGGAGUGACUUUCUGCUAUUUCACCCACCCUCUGAAACAUCAUCCACCUCAGGUCAUAUUGGCCCCAAAUCUUUGGGCCUUCUGGAAGGGCCUGAAAACAUGGUUUUGCCUUCCUGAAAAUCCAAUAAAUGUGGGAUGCAAUGCAAUCUGGAGACGAAGAAAAAAUGUAAUGACAUCUUUGUAGAGCUGGUUAUUGAAAAAGUGAAGUGGACCCAGAUAUAGUCUGAUAAAUAAUAUUGCUCAGGACCUGAAUACUGGAAUAUAUUUAUUAAAUAUGUGAUAUUCAAGUGUUCUUUAGCACAUUGCCUAAAUAAAACUUAGAAUAUUGUUUCU
Molecule: long non-coding RNA, 422 nt
Organism: Pantherophis guttatus
Lineage: Eukaryota; Metazoa; Chordata; Lepidosauria; Squamata; Colubridae
Source: RefSeq, a predicted model, not a curated record